CGGGAUACCCGAGGGAAACUUCGGUUAAUACGGUAUAAGACCACACUACCGCAUGGUAGAGGGGUAAAAGGGGCAACCUGGUAUGAGAUGGACUCGCGUCGCAUUAGCUAGUUGGUGAGGUAACGGCCCACCAAGGCGACGAUGCGUAGCCGACCUGAGAGGGUGAUCGGCCACAUUGGGACUGAGAUACGGCCCAGACUCCUACGGGAGGCAGCAGUGGGGAAUAUUGGGCAAUGGAGGAAACUCUGACCCAGCAAUGCCGCGUGAAUGAAGAAGGUCUUCGGAUUGUAAAGUUCUUUAGUCAGGGAAGAAGUCAAUGACGGUACCUGAAGAAUAAGCUCCGGCUAACUACGUGCCAGCAGCCGCGGUAAUACGUAGGGAGCAAGCGUUGUUCGGAAUGACUGGGCGUAAAGGGUGCGUAGGCGGUUGUACAAGUUGGAAGUGAAAUACCCAGGGCUUAACUCGGGUGCUGCUUCUAAAACUGUAUGACUUGAGUGCAGUAGAGGUUAGUGGAAUUCCUAGUGUAGCGGUGGAAUGCGUAGAUAUUAGGAGGAACACCAGAGGCGAAGGCGGCUAACUGGACUGCAACUGACGCUGAGGCACGAAAGUGUGGGGAGCAAACAGGAUUAGAUACCCUGGUAGUCCACACUGUAAACGAUGGAUACUAGAUGUAGGAGGUAUCGACUCCUUCUGCGUCGCAG
RNAcentral lists this ribosomal RNA (701 nucleotides) under uncultured bacterium. RNAcentral's name for it is "bacterial SSU rRNA". It matches the Rfam family "Bacterial small subunit ribosomal RNA", at positions 139 to 851 of the family's 1533-position model. The record is from RNAcentral.